AGUUUGAUCCUGGCUCAGAUUGAACGCUGGCGGCAUGCUUUACACAUGCAAGUCGAACGGCAGCGCGGGCUUCGGCCUGGCGGCGAGUGGCGAACGGGUGAGUAAUGCAUCGGAACGUGCCCAGUAGUGGGGGAUAGCCCGGCGAAAGCCGGAUUAAUACCGCAUACGACCUGAGGGUGAAAGCGGGGGACCGAAAGGCCUCGCGCUAUUGGAGCGGCCGAUGUCGGAUUAGCUAGUUGGUGGGGUAAAGGCUUACCAAGGCGACGAUCCGUAGCUGGUCUGAGAGGACGACCAGCCACACUGGGACUGAGACACGGCCCAGACUCCUACGGGAGGCAGCAGUGGGGAAUUUUGGACAAUGGGGGCAACCCUGAUCCAGCCAUGCCGCGUGCGGGAAGAAGGCCUUCGGGUUGUAAACCGCUUUUGUUCGGGAAGAAAUCCUCUGGGCUAAUACCCCGGGGGGAUGACGGUACCGGAAGAAUAAGCACCGGCUAACUACGUGCCAGCAGCCGCGGUAAU
RNAcentral lists this ribosomal RNA (519 nucleotides) under uncultured bacterium. RNAcentral's name for it is "bacterial SSU rRNA". It matches the Rfam family "Bacterial small subunit ribosomal RNA", at positions 10 to 524 of the family's 1533-position model. The record is from RNAcentral.